This 505-nucleotide ribosomal RNA is filed under the name uncultured bacterium. RNAcentral describes it as "partial 16S ribosomal RNA". It matches the Rfam family "Bacterial small subunit ribosomal RNA", at positions 28 to 507 of the family's 1533-position model. The record is from RNAcentral.
GACGAACGCUGGCGGCGUGCCUAAUACAUGCAAGUAGAACGCACAGUUUAUACCGUAGCUUGCUACACCAUAAACUGUGAGUUGCGAACGGGUGAGUAACGCGUAGGUAACCUGCCUGGUAGCGGGGGAUAACUAUUGGAAACGAUAGCUAAUACCGCAUAAUAUUGAUUAUCGCAUGAUAAUUGAUUGAAAGAUGCUAUUGCAUCACUACCAGAUGGACCUGCGUUGUAUUAGCUAGUAGGUGAGGUAACGGCUCACCUAGGCGACGAUACAUAGCCGACCUGAGAGGGUGAUCGGCCACACUGGGACUGAGACACGGCCCAGACUCCUACGGGAGGCAGCAGUAGGGAAUCUUCGGCAAUGGACGAAAGUCUGACCGAGCAACGCCGCGUGAGUGAAGAAGGUUUUCGGAUCGUAAAGCUCUGUUGUAAGAGAAGAACGGGUGUGAGAGUGGAAAGUUCACACUGUGACGGUAUCUUACCAGAAAGGGACGGCUAACUACGUG